Molecule: ribosomal RNA, 464 nt
Filed under: uncultured Acidipropionibacterium sp.
Lineage: Bacteria; Bacillati; Actinomycetota; Actinomycetes; Propionibacteriales; Propionibacteriaceae
Description: bacterial SSU rRNA
Rfam family: Bacterial small subunit ribosomal RNA
Source: RNAcentral
UUGACGGGGGCCCGCACAAGCGGCGGAGCAUGCGGAUUAAUUCGAUGCAACGCGAAGAACCUUACCUGGGUUUGACAUGGAUUGGUAACGGUCAGAGAUGGCCGCCCCCCUUGUGGGCCGAUUCACAGGUGGUGCAUGGCUGUCGUCAGCUCGUGUCGUGAGAUGUUGGGUUAAGUCCCGCAACGAGCGCAACCCUCGUCCACUGUUGCCAGCAAUUCGGUUGGGGACUCAGUGGAGACCGCCGGGGUCAACUCGGAGGAAGGUGGGGAUGACGUCAAGUCAUCAUGCCCCUUAUGUCCAGGGCUUCACGCAUGCUACAAUGGCCGGUACAAAGAGUUGCGACACUGUGAGGUGGAGCGAAUCUCAAAAAGCCGGUCUCAGUUCGGAUUGGGGUCUGCAACUCGACCCCAUGAAGUCGGAGUCGCUAGUAAUCGCAGAUCAGCAACGCUGCGGUGAAUACAGGC